CAUGCAAGUUGAGCGCUGAAGGUUGGUACUUGUACCGACUGGAUGAGCAGCGAACGGGUGAGUAACGCGUGGGGAAUCUGCCUUUGAGCGGGGGACAACAUUUGGAAACGAAUGCUAAUACCGCAUAAAAACUUUAAACACAAGUUUUAAGUUUGAAAGACGCAAUUGCAUCACUCAAAGAUGAUCCCGCGUUGUAUUAGCUAGUUGGUGAGGUAAAGGCUCACCAAGGCGAUGAUACAUAGCCGACCUGAGAGGGUGAUCGGCCACAUUGGGACUGAGACACGGCCCAAACUCCUACGGGAGGCAGCAGUAGGGAAUCUUCGGCAAUGGACGAAAGUCUGACCGAGCAACGCCGCGUGAGUGAAGAAGGUUUUCGGAUCGUAAAACUCUGUUGGUAGAGAAGAACGUUGGUGAGAGUGGAAAGCUCAUCAAGUGACGGUAACUACCCAGAAAGGGACGGCUAACUACGUGCCAGCAGCCGCGGUAAUACGUAGGUCCCGAGCGUUGUCCGGAUUUAUUGGGCGUAAAGCGAGCGCAGGUGGUUUAUUAAGUCUGGUGUAAAAGGCAGUGGCUCAACCAUUGUAUGCAUUGGAAACUGGUAGACUUGAGUGCAGGAGAGGAGAGUGGAAUUCCAUGUGUAGCGGUGAAAUGCGUAGAUAUAUGGAGGAACACCGGUGGCGAAAGCGGCUCUCUGGCCUGUAACUGACACUGAGGCUCGAAAGCGUGGGGAGCAAACAGGAUUAGAUACCCUGGUAGU
This 757-nucleotide ribosomal RNA is filed under the name uncultured bacterium. RNAcentral's name for it is "bacterial SSU rRNA". It matches the Rfam family "Bacterial small subunit ribosomal RNA", at positions 54 to 794 of the family's 1533-position model. The record is from RNAcentral.